CGGAUACAUGAUAUAUUUGCC
RNAcentral lists this non-coding RNA (21 nucleotides) under Arabidopsis thaliana (thale cress). The record is from RNAcentral. Lineage: Eukaryota; Viridiplantae; Streptophyta; Magnoliopsida; Brassicales; Brassicaceae.